GAUUAACGCUAGCGGCAGGCCUAAUACAUGCAAGUCGAACGGUAACAUGGGUAGCAAUAUCUGAUGACGAGUGGCGCACGGGUGCGUAACGCGUAUGUAAUCUACCUCUAACUGGGGGAUAGCCUUCCGAAAGGAAGAUUAAUACCGCAUAAUAUAAAUGAAGAGGCAUCUUUUUGUUAUCAAAACUCUGGUGGUUAGAGAUGAACAUGCGUGACAUUAGCUAGUUGGUGAAGUAAUAGCUCACCAAGGCUACGAUGUCUAGGGGGUCUGAGAGGAUGACUCCCCCCACACUGGUACUGAGACACGGACCAGACUCCUACGGG
This 323-nucleotide ribosomal RNA is filed under the name uncultured bacterium. RNAcentral describes it as "bacterial SSU rRNA". It matches the Rfam family "Bacterial small subunit ribosomal RNA", at positions 28 to 345 of the family's 1533-position model. The record is from RNAcentral.